This 447-nucleotide ribosomal RNA is filed under the name uncultured bacterium. Its description in RNAcentral is "partial 16S ribosomal RNA". It matches the Rfam family "Bacterial small subunit ribosomal RNA", at positions 29 to 523 of the family's 1533-position model. The record is from RNAcentral.
AACGAACGCUGGCGGCAGGCCUAACACAUGCAAGUCGAACGCCCAGCAAUGGGAGUGGCGCACGGGUGAGUAACGCGUGGGAAUGUACCCUUUAGUACGGAAUAACCUCGGGAAACUGGGAUUAAUACCGUAUACGCCCUUCGGGGGAAAGAUUUAUCGCUAAAGGAUCAGCCCGCGUGAGAUUAGAUAGUUGGUGGGGUAAUGGCCUACCAAGUCUACGAUCUCUAGCUGGUCUGAGAGGACGACCAGCCACACUGGAACUGAGACACGGUCCGGACUCCUACGGGAGGCAGCAGUGGGGAAUAUUGGACAAUGGGCGAAAGCCUGAUCCAGCCAUGCCGCGUGAGUGAUGAAGGCCUUAGGGUUGUAAAGCUCUUUCGGUGGUGACGAUAAUGACGGUAACCACAUAAGAAGCCCCGGCUAACUUCGUGCCAGCAGCCGCCGUAA